CCUACGGGAGGCAGCAGUGGGGAAUAUUGGGCAAUGGAGGCAACUCUUACCCAGCAACGCCGCGUGAAUGAAGAAGGUCUUCGGAUUGUAAAGUUCUUUACUAGGGGAAGAAAAAAAUGACGGUACCCAAGGAAUAAGCCCCGGCUAACUACGUGCCAGCAGCCGCGGUAAUACGGAGGGGGCAAGCGUUGUUCGGGAUGACUGGGCGUAAAGGGUGCGUAGGCGGUGUAGCAAGUUAGAAGGGAAAUACCAGGUGCCAAACUCAGGUGCUGCUCCCAAAACUGUUGUACUUGAGUGCAGGAGGGGAAAGUGGAAUUCCUAGUGUAGCGGUGGAAUGCGUAGAUAUUAGGAGGAACAUCAGUGGCGAAGGCGACUUUCUGGACUGUAACUGACGCUGAGGCACGAAAGCGUGGGGAGCAAACAGGAUUAGAUACCCUGGUAGUC
This 444-nucleotide ribosomal RNA is filed under the name uncultured bacterium. Its description in RNAcentral is "partial 16S ribosomal RNA". It matches the Rfam family "Bacterial small subunit ribosomal RNA", at positions 338 to 795 of the family's 1533-position model. The record is from RNAcentral.